Molecule: long non-coding RNA, 753 nt
Organism: Dioscorea cayenensis subsp. rotundata (Guinea yam)
Lineage: Eukaryota; Viridiplantae; Streptophyta; Magnoliopsida; Dioscoreales; Dioscoreaceae
Exons: 2
Source: RefSeq, a predicted model, not a curated record
GAGAGAAGAAGAACCCUAAUCCGAAUCUCAAAGACCUGAGUGGUAACAAUGAGGAUCGAGACGACGAUGAAGGCGAUGAUAUCCACGAUGCCAACGGCGUAGGCGGGGCGAAGAUCGUGAUCAAGACGUGCGCCUUCAUACUGAACGGCCCCGGAUUCAGUGAGAACUCCCUGUCUCCGAAACCCGGGAUCUUGAAUAUGGUGGUUGGAAGCGGCGAGGCGAGGAAUCGACCGACGGGGAGAGACGCCAACUGAACGGUGAUCUGGGUGAUGAUCAGAGGGUUGGUGCGGUAAGCGAAGAACUAGUUGAGAAACGAUAGGAGAGAAAGCAAGGCGCCGGCGACGCUAGACGCAGCGAGCUGCUGCUGCUUAGAAGAAGAUGAACCCUAGAAACAUUCUGUGUUAGCAAUAGCAUCAGAUUUCAAGGCUGUUUGGGUUUGAAUUUCUAUUGAAAUUGUACUUAGCAGGAGCAUCAGGUGGAUCAAAGGUAAAAUAUGCAACCACGGAACAGUAUCAAGAUACUCUCUUUGGUUUUUAAUGAGAUUUUCGAAUAAAAUGUGUUUGUAUGAGUGUCUCAUAAUAUAUUAGAAAUUGAAUACGUUUAUCUAUCUAUAUAUGUGUGUAUGUUACCCUGUCUGUAUCACACUAGUUAAAGUACAAGUAAAAGUGUCUGUUGAACAAACUAGUACUGCUGCAAACAUAUAUGUUAUUGAUUCAAUGUUAUUAGGAGCUAUGUAAUUAUGAUAAUUAAUUU